UACGUAGGGGGCUAGCGUUGUCCGGAAUCAUUGGGCGUAAAGCGCGCGUAGGCGGCCCGGUAAGUCCGCUGUGAAAGUCAAAGGCUCAACCUUUGAAUGUCAGCGGAUACUGCCGGGCUAGAGUCCGGAAGAGGCGAGUGGAACUCCUGGUGUAGCGGUGGAAUGCGCAGAUAUCAGGAAGAACACCAAUGGCGAAAGCAGCUUUCUGGGACGGUACUGACGCUGAGACGCGAAAGCGUGGGGAGCGAACAGG
This 253-nucleotide ribosomal RNA is filed under the name uncultured bacterium. RNAcentral's name for it is "partial 16S ribosomal RNA". It matches the Rfam family "Bacterial small subunit ribosomal RNA", at positions 524 to 776 of the family's 1533-position model. The record is from RNAcentral.